Molecule: long non-coding RNA, 1605 nt
Organism: Felis catus (domestic cat)
Lineage: Eukaryota; Metazoa; Chordata; Mammalia; Carnivora; Felidae
Exons: 2
Source: RefSeq, a predicted model, not a curated record
CAGUGUUUCUCAAGUAACCAGGGGUCAGCUUCUGGUCAGAUGUGGACUAGCAGCCACGCAAGAAAAACCCAGGUGAUGCAGGAAGUCACUCUCAUGAUUCAGCCAUCAAGCUCGACAUGUAGUCAGUGCCGAAACCACUGGAGCUUUAUCUAAUCUAGGGUAGUCAGACUAUGAGAAUGAGCAACCAGGAUGCUAGGAUGACCAAAAGGCCUUUAGGGAGGAGGGCCUAGGCCCCUCUUUGAGGGAGCCAUGUCUGAGAAGUCUUGCUAAAAUGGAGCCUCAAGCCCCUGACUGGGCCUUCUGGGACAGGAAGGAGCCUCUGAUCUGCAGCCCAAUGACAACCCACCCACCGUGAGUCUUCCUUUCACGCAUUUUUCAGGGGAGCAGGCUGGAUUUUCAAGGCAACCCAUCCCAUCCCAUCAUCUAUUAAUGACUCUACUCACCAGAAUAUUCUUUCUUACAGCUACACGUCUGACUUCUUCCUCAGUUUUUUAGGAAACAUGCUUUUCAGAGCCAAAUCACUCCUCCCAGAACUGCCUUUCAAAAUAACGUACCUGCAACUGAGCGUAAUACUGCAGCCACUAUGUGCUCUGAUGGUCCUGGUCUGUCCUGAUGGUUUCAGAUCCCAGUCUGUCCUCAGGUGGAUUAGCUGUCCUUGCAAUUACUCUGCCUCUUUUGGUUGGGGGCAUCAUUAGGUACUGAGUGUGGGUAGCUCUGCAUUCAGGGGGAGCAUUUGGGUCCUCCGACAGGCCUGGUUAGUACAGACCAUAGUGCCAUUCCCAGAAAGCAAGACAUGAUGCAAGGCUUCAGAGUGGACGAGCAAGGUGGGGAGUUUCUCUAUAUGUGGAACAACUCAGAGUGGAAACUCAAACCAUCUCAAGUAAAAAGUCUAAGAAACCAGCAGCCAUGGAACUGCUGGAGAUACCUGCCAUCUAUCCCCUAGAAGGAGACAGCAGGACAGUUCCAUGCUCUCUGUCUCUGCUCCACACCCACUGCCAAGAAGGUGCCCCCAUGGUCCCCUGACCAAGGCUGGGGGCAGUGUCAGUAGCUCCCUCCAAGCUACUCUGCUGCCCUCUGCUGGUGGAGUCUUGCAGCAGCUUCAAAAAAGGCAGGACUUUCUGGGAAGUUGUAACACAAGAUAGCAGACAGAAGACUCACUAGGAGCCACCCUGGGCCCAAGGGGAUGACUGGAGGAUAACUUCCUGGGUAGUAUAAGUCUGUCUGCAGGGAAGCUACAAAAAGAAACUGUGGAAAGAAGGCAAGCGGAGGGUUCCAUUUGUAACAGAAUAGCAUACAGAGACAAUGGUAGGAUCUGCUUUCAUAGGUCAUUCCCCCAAUCAAAUCUGGAUUCUUUCCUGAAGUAAAGCUCAAUUCUUGGCCUUCACUCAAACAAAAUUACACAUGAAAAGGAUCUAGCCAAUGUCAGGCACACAUGAGGUCCCAAAGAAACAGGAGUUCCCUUACAGUGAUUAGUGGAUGCCUCUCUCUAUACCUGGGUCUCCUACUUUCCUCCCCCAGAACCCAGAGCAGGCAGUGCUGCUAAGACUUCACCAUAUACCGAGUGUAUUUAGAAGAAUCAAUAAACUACAAACAAUUCUCACUUAA